This 214-nucleotide ribosomal RNA is filed under the name uncultured bacterium. Its description in RNAcentral is "partial 16S ribosomal RNA". It matches the Rfam family "Bacterial small subunit ribosomal RNA", at positions 1286 to 1500 of the family's 1533-position model. The record is from RNAcentral.
UCUCAGUUCGGAUUGAAGGCUGAAAUUCGCCUUCAUGAAGCCGGAAUUGCUAGUAAUGGCAGGUCAGCAUACUGCCGUGAAUACGUUCCCGGGCCUUGUACACACCGCCCGUCACACCAUGAGAGUUGGGAAUACCCGAAGCCUGUGAGCUAACUUUUAGAGGCAGCAGUCGAAGGUAGAAUCAAUGAUUGGGGUGAAGUCGUAACAAGGUAUC